AACACUACUGCUACUACUACUCACACCGUUACCACGACGACUAACUAUACACAGCAAUAAGUGACAUACACAGAUUUGCCUGUAUGUGCUACUCCAUCAUUCUUCUCUCUCACGCUCUCUCAGCAAAUGAGAUCACAAAACAGAGCUAUGCAUACACAACACCUCUAAUAUCGCACACACACUUGCAAUAAUAACAGCCCAUACUUUCGUAAGUUUAAGAAGAAUACGUAGGAAGAGUUGCUAUGCAUCAUCGCACUGAUUUCAGCAUGUCACUGGUACUGCUGCAGUUAUGAUUCUUCUAGCCCCUUUCUCUCCCUUUCUCUCCCGCUCUUUCUGCAUAUGUGAGACAAACACAAAAGAUGGCUUUAUUAUACAGACUGCCAUCGCAACCAGCCACGUAAGCACAUGCAACUGUUUAUGCUUUCUUCCCCCCGCUCAGGUAAAAGAUGUAAUCAGGGCAUGAAGUAGCGAUACUUCGGUGUGGUGGACAACAUGAGCAAAACUAAAACCAAUACUAUGGAGUUUGCUACAUGUUCUAUUUCACUCGUUACACACAGAAAAGCACUAGUUAUGUAUAUCGCUUCGAUAACUACCAACACUUUAGCAGUCAUUCAGCCCGUGCUCUUUCUCAGUCUGAGAUACACAAAAGACACACAGAAGAUCAAACAAUGCACACGACUAACAAAUGCUAAUAUAUUCUAAGAUUAAGUCAACGAGCCCACGUUAAGAUCCAUCAGGACCAAAAGAGACAAACUCAGACAAAUGUGGUACACAGGUAUACGUUGCAUGGAGUCGAAACCAAUGAAAAACGCUUCUUUGUGAAUGUUCAACAUGCCAGAAAUAGCACAAAGUCUGCCUCGUGUUAUGGCAUACAUUGAAAAAUAGAAGAACACAUUGGAUAAUAUGUACCUAAAUAUACAAUGUUGAAAAAGAAGAAUGGGAUGGUCGCGGCUCUGUGUAGUCAGAGCCGACAUAGUACUAAAUAAUAAUAACAAUGAAGCUACUAAAACAUAUAUAACAGAAAAUAGUAUAAUACUUACAAGCUUUGUGCCAAAAUUGCCAAGACACCAACAACAACUUAAUAAGUUCUGAUCUGACAGCAUCACAUAGACAAGAUUCAAGGAUUGUUUCUUUUUUCCUUUUCCUUUUUUUUUUUUUUUUAUUAAUAAUCAGCCAGGAAUGCGUGGGGUUGGACCCAUCGUUGACUGGUACACCCAUUCAACCGUAGGAAUUACCAUGCUAGAUUUAGAUUAUAAAUAGAACCAACUUUCAAGCUGAUGGUCUAAGAUGCCACAAUUGUUGCAAUAGAAGUCAAAUUUUGUUUUAAAAUAUUUUUAAAAAAAAAAUAAAAAGUUAAUAAAAAGAAAGAACGGAAGAUAAUAACCAACAACUCAAACAAGAGAGAGUCGGAAUUGGAUUGUUCGAAAUUGCAACAUGACUUGUUCAAAUUCCUGUUUCAAUUCCAUUGUUGCUGAUAGGUCAGUAUGACAAUACAUACAUUACAUACAUACACCUGCACACACAAACAGCAGAAGAUACAAAAGGAACACCCAAGUUAUCAGCUUUCUGGAAACUAUUCGCAAUUCUGUAAUUAUUUACAAUAUGAAUGCAUAAAAGAGGAACUCAAUUAUUCAAAAGUUGUGAUAAGAAAUGUUCACUUGAAAAUAAUAAUGUGGUAGGUCAUAAUUCCAGUUGUCAUUAGCAUUUACAAUUUCUUCUAUUUUUUUUAUAGCACAGCAUGAGGCUGGUGGUGGUGGUCUGCUAUGUGAUAUUCUUCGGAUUGUACCAACUGUUCAUAUUUUCCGUUUCUGGACCCUUGGUAUUCGGGGCAAUGGCUAAACUACUUUUUUCAUCAUUUGCGUUACUUCUUUCUAUGACCCCUAACUCUUUCUCUUCUUGGCUCUCUUCAACUCACAAGACUGCUUAUAUCAACCAUUAAUGUCAUUACCUCUGUGAUCAUGUACACACACACACACACACACACACGCAUGCACACCUGUAGACAGGUGGUAGCGUAAAUAUUAAAUGUUAGCUAAUUGUUAAUCAGAGAAACAAGUCUCUCAGAAUGUUAAGAUAAGAAAUCUCAGCAUUAACUUGCAUACACUGCAGUAGUGAGUGGUGUGACUAUGUUCAGGGAGAGGGUGGAAUCACAGAAGACUAACAAAUGUAGUUUGAUUUAAAAGAGAAAAAAGAAGAAAUUAUGACAUCACAAUGCCAAGCAGCGUAGACAGUCGCAGAACAGCUGACCAGCUCAGUUUCAUUUAGUCAUUUAUUCAGCAGGGAGUGGCAUGAUGAGAAGUCUAAAACUGUCUCACAGCUACAUAUAAUCACACACACACAUACACACACGCACACACCUGUUGGUUGUUCAAAAUGUAAACUGAGUGAAAAAGGGGCAGAAAUUAAGGGGUAUACAGGGACACAACUUUAAACAAGACAUGGACAUAGAUACAUAUACACACACAACUGGCUUUGCAGAGUCACCGUCAACCAAAUUCCAUCUACAAGACACUGACCAACUUGAGGCUACAUGUGGUAAAGGACCAUGAAAUGGGAUCGAACCAGGAGCCAUGUGGCAGCAAUGCAAACUUCUUAAUCAUACAACUAUACAAUAUAGUGGCAUUGAUGACAAAACCAAGAGAAUCGCUAUGGUGAUUAUUAUGAUGCUGGUAGCAACAGUGUUGAUGAAGGCAGAUUCUGGCAGAUUUGGGGUCAUGUUAGAGAUGGGAACAAUAGAUGGGAAAAGAAAAAGGUAAAGUAAAAUAGAGAAAUGUUAAACAUCUGAUCUUGUAAUUUCAAAUAAAAGAAAACUUUGAAUACAGUUUAAAAAGAAAAGGAAAGAGAGGAUGAGAGAAAGAGUUUGUGUGAGUGUGUGUGUGUGUGUGUGUGCACGCACACGCGUGUGGGGAGUGGGGUGCAACAGAGACAGUCAGACAAAUUAACCGGAAAAGGGGUAGGGGAAAAGAGAGAAAAUGGAAGACAGAAAUAUGCACACGAAUGAUGGAAACAUACGGGAAUAUACACAUGGAGUAAAUAAAAUCAAAAAUUAGAUGAGGAGGAAAAGUGAGUGCUAAAGAUGGGAAGAGACAGGGAAAAUUGAAGAGCAAUGGAGAGUGUUAAAGAUGAGAGAGAUAUAGAAAUGAAGAGAAAGAGUUAGAGAGACAAGAGAGAGAGAGACAGACAGAGUAAAGCAUAUUGAAAGGAGAAUAAAUAAUAAAAAAAUUAAUAAAAAGGAAGAUAUAUGAAAACGCUCAGAAAGUUGCAAAAGUGAAACUGUGCGCCUAAAUGUGUGUGUGCGCACGUAUGAGAAUGUCAUCAGAGAUUCUUUCACAAGGUGUUUUUCCAAGUGUAAGCAUAUAUAAGAUAUAGUUUCUUUUAAUACAUAAGGUUUCUUUAGGUACAUACACGUGUGUGUGUG
Long non-coding RNA from Octopus sinensis (East Asian common octopus), 3418 nucleotides. RefSeq lists it as uncharacterized. The record is from RefSeq and is a predicted model, not a curated record. The transcript has 3 exons. NCBI's taxonomy places the organism in Eukaryota, Metazoa, Mollusca, Cephalopoda, Octopoda, Octopodidae.